ACGACCUUCCUCGACCCCCUUCGGCUACGACUCCUGACACCGCCGCCGGCGAAAGCAACUUGGAGCGAAGGUGCCCCUAUCCCGUCGAGUGGGGGUGCCCCUCCCAGAGGAACGCACGUAGUGGUGGGCGACGACGGCGGCAGCGGCUGCGGCAGCGGCAGCGGCAACUGCUCUCUCUCCGUGGCGUUGUGCACCAUGGCGAUGACGACUACGAUGUUCCAGAUCAACCAGGAUCUAAACCUCCUCUCCUUCCUGCGGCGAUUGGUUCCGGAGUCCGAGUUCACCGGCCGCAAACGCUUAACAUCCAGCGACCAGGAGGGCGAGCGGUUGCUCAUCUAUGGCAUGCAGGACGAGGCGGCAUGGUUGGGCAGAUGACGCGGCAGGUAGAUUGGAAGCGGGAAGCUGAUCCAUCAACGAAAUUAUGAUCCUGGUGCUUCUUUCCUCAGAUUUAUACAUUACUGUCUUUGUAACCUACAACUGCUUCACCUCACACUCACCCGUUCCUCUUCUGAACUAGGCAGCAGAACGACAACUUAGUUGUUGUCUAGGUUACCACUUUAUCUUCCUUUUUCCUGCACAAUUUCCUUGCAAUCCCCUUGCAAUCCCCUCUUUUCAUCCAAUGACUCCAUUGUAAUAAUCUGUUUCCAAUCUGAAUUUUGGGCAGACAGUGUCCAUCCUGGUUCUGGUCAAUCUCUGAGGUUCAUUCUCAUAAAUUAGCUUGUAUUCUCCCUAAUGAUGCUUGGGUGGUUUUAGUUUUUAAUGAUGUGCGAUCAAGUUACCAUCACUAAUGUUGACUAGACAUAGCAAUUUUCUACUACUCGUGUACACUGUCCGGUGUUGAUUUUUGACCGAUACUUUAAGAAAAAAUAAUGCAUGAAUAACUCCACAAAUCAAGGUGCUAAAUAAUCUGUUUGUCGGUCCGAGAUGCUAGAGAUUAGGGUAAUAAAUUAGGAUUUGCCAUACCUGCAGUGUUCAAUGAUUAGGGUUGAUGCUAUUAAGUUCAUAGUGUACAAUGAUCUAUCAUGUAACUGAAUUCUGAAUGCUCCAAUUUCCACGGAUGUUCACUUGAUUUCCAUGGAUGUUAUGUCGAUCUGUUAUACAAGUCAUGCAUACACUCUCUGUAUUUUUCAUUUUACCAACUUCAGAAAUUAUUCAGAUCACCUUGAUGUUUGAAUUAUUAAUUAUUGGAGCAAAAGAAAGUAUAUAUAGGCAAUAGAUUGUAUGUAGUGUGCAGCAUAAAAAAUUACUCUCCCUAUAGGGUGCCGGGAACAUUUUUUUAGCAUAUUUAUCUUUAGCAGUACGGAAACUCCCCUCAACGAAGAUGCUUUCAAGGGCCUUCUAUAAUUGUCUCAUUAAAGGACAACCAGUGUUGGAUGAUGAGAGGACAACCAAGGUGAAGAUACAACGCCUACAGUGCAUCCUCCAAGUGAGCUACAACCAGACAUGCGGCAGUCAAUGGAAUUCGGGUGGAGCGACGGUUAUAACAAAUGAGCAGUACCUUGACCGUAUCUGCGGAGAUGAGCUUUCUGUAGGAUGUGCUCCUUGGGAAGGUAACACUUGUUUAACCGAACAUAAAAUGACAGACUGUUGGAAGGAGGCAUAACCUUUAGUCUACUGCGAAGAAAUUCAAUAACUGGAGCAGAAGGUCCAAAGUUAUACCUGGACUGCAGCCGGUGAUAUGAACUUCAUGUGGCUGCUUUGCUGCUACACGUGUUGCCAAUUAGGAUAGUCAAUAGGGGUGCGUUUACAGUGUUGUGGGCAAAAAUAAUUGCCAGCCAUUUUACUAUAGCUGAUAUAGUUGUCCCUACAAUAAUGAGUACCUACACUUUAUUUA
Molecule: long non-coding RNA, 1834 nt
Organism: Triticum dicoccoides
Lineage: Eukaryota; Viridiplantae; Streptophyta; Magnoliopsida; Poales; Poaceae
Exons: 3
Source: RefSeq, a predicted model, not a curated record